Molecule: ribosomal RNA, 478 nt
Filed under: uncultured bacterium
Lineage: Bacteria
Description: partial 16S ribosomal RNA
Rfam family: Bacterial small subunit ribosomal RNA
Source: RNAcentral
GAUGAACGCUGGCGGCGUGCCUAACACAUGCAAGUCGAACGGAGUCCAGCCUUUAAGACCUUCGGGUCAAAGAGGGGAAGACUGAGUGGCGGACGGGUGAGUAACACGUGGGCAACCUGGCUCAUAGAGGGGGAUAACAGAGAGAAAUCUCUGCUAAUACCGCAUAAGCACACACUGCCGCAUGGCAGAGGGUGAAAAGAGAAUCGCUAUGAGAUGGACCCGCGUCUGAUUAGCCAGUUGGCAGGGUAAGAGCCUACCAAAGCGACGAUCAGUAGCCGAUCUGAGAGGAUGAACGGCCACAUUGGGACUGAGACACGGCCCAAACUCCUACGGGAGGCAGCAGUGGGGGAUAUUGCACAAUGGGGGGAACCCUGAUGCAGCGACGCCGCGUGAGUGAAGAAGUAUUUCGGUAUGUAAAGCUCUAUCAGCAGGGAAGAUAAUGACAGUACCUGAAUAAGAAGCCCCGGCUAACUACGUG